Molecule: transfer RNA, 27 nt
Filed under: Spiranthes praecox
Lineage: Eukaryota; Viridiplantae; Streptophyta; Magnoliopsida; Asparagales; Orchidaceae
Description: partial tRNA-Gly
Source: RNAcentral
GCGGAUAUGGUCAAAUGGUAAAAUUUC